Asparagus officinalis (garden asparagus) is the source of this 548-nucleotide long non-coding RNA. RefSeq lists it as uncharacterized. Lineage: Eukaryota; Viridiplantae; Streptophyta; Magnoliopsida; Asparagales; Asparagaceae. The record is from RefSeq and is a predicted model, not a curated record. The transcript is spliced from 3 exons.
UCUAUAUGGUAUCAAUGAAUUUUUUUUUUUUUUCCAUUCUCCAAUACUACUCUUAGUCACCAAAAUCCUCAAAAACUGCUCUAAGAGCUUCAAAUUCUCCAGGAGGCUCGUUCUCCUUUCUCAGCUCCUCUAGAUCCACUUCGACUUGAUCUUCAUUAAGCUCGAUCCCAAAAAUAAGCCUGAAAUUGUUGUCGAUGUCCAAAAAUCCCUCAUCGUAGAUAUUCUUCCCAUAACCUAAGGAGCUAAAAUUUCGAAAAGUUUGGCUCAAUCAUCCAAAACUCGCUUUCCAUGAUGGCUCUAUUGUUCUUCCAAUGUCUAAAAGUCUUCUCUAGUAUGAGGGUCGCUUACUUUGAAUUGACCUCGUGUUAAAAAUGAUUGGUGGCAGAUGGAAAAUUUCUUUGAACAGCUAGCAAUCAUCAAUCUUGAGUGGAUAUUCUUUUUUUUUCCUUAAUUGCUUUGUUAAUUAUUUUGAAUUUGUUCGUGGUUCAUGUAACAUCUCAUUUGAGUAAUAUACUAAUUAGAAGGGGGAUGUUGUAUCUUUUUUUUAA